RNAcentral lists this ribosomal RNA (852 nucleotides) under uncultured bacterium. RNAcentral describes it as "bacterial SSU rRNA". It matches the Rfam family "Bacterial small subunit ribosomal RNA", at positions 60 to 871 of the family's 1533-position model. The record is from RNAcentral.
AGUCGAGCGAGUCUGCCUUGAAGAUCGGAGUGCUUGCACUCUGUGAAACAAGAUACAGGCUAGCGGCGGACGGGUGAGUAACACGUGGGUAACCUGCCCAAGAGAUCGGGAUAACACCUGGAAACAGAUGCUAAUACCGGAUAACAACAGAUGAUGCCUAUCAACUGUUUAAAAGAUGGUUCUGCUAUCACUCUUGGAUGGACCUGCGGUGCAUUAGCUAGUUGGUAGGGUAACGGCCUACCAAGGCGAUGAUGCAUAGCCGAGUUGAGAGACUGAUCGGCCACAUUGGGACUGAGACACGGCCCAAACUCCUACGGGAGGCAGCAGUAGGGAAUCUUCCACAAUGGACGCAAGUCUGAUGGAGCAACGCCGCGUGAGUGAAGAAGGGCUUCGGCUCGUAAAGCUCUGUUGUUGGUGAAGAAGGACAGGGGUAGUAACUGACCUUUGUUUGACGGUAAUCAAUUAGAAAGUCACGGCUAACUACGUGCCAGCAGCCGCGGUAAUACGUAGGUGGCAAGCGUUGUCCGGAUUUAUUGGGCGUAAAGCGAGUGCAGGCGGCUCGAUAAGUCUGAUGUGAAAGCCUUCGGCUCAACCGGAGAAUUGCAUCAGAAACUGUCGAGCUUGAGUACAGAAGAGGAGAGUGGAACUCCAUGCGUAGCGGUGAAAUGCGUAGAUAUAUGGAAGAACACCGGUGGCGAAGGCGGCUCUCUGGUCUGUUACUGACGCUGAGGCUCGAAAGCAUGGGUAGCGAACAGGAUUAGAUACCCUGGUAGUCCAUGCCGUANACGAUGAGUGCUAAGUGUUGGGAGGUUUCCGCCUCUCAGUGCUGCAGCUAACGCAUUAAGCACUCCG